GUUUUUAUGCAGAUACACCAGUCAGCCUUUGUUUUUGAUUGGGUAGAAGGAAAGCGCACACCGAAAACCGUUUCUCCAAACCCCACCCACACACUCUGCUUUACUCGGGUUUCUCUUUCCCCUCCCCCGGUCCUUAGACAGCCAUUUCCACUCUGCCACAUGGCCUUACCAACAAACAAACCGAUAACUGGAGAUGAAACACAAAUCGCUAACUGCCCAGUCGGGAGAGAGAAAAGCGCAGUUGGUAGAGAAAACCUAUAUGACCUGCUUCCAGAAGGGCAAAGUGAAGAGGGAACAUCAAUGGCUCACUUCAAGGUCUAUCUCCAGUGCAGAGACGAAACUCCAGCCAAAACACCUAAUUCUGUGCAAGCGCCACAGGCUAACACGUUGCGUGGUGUACAGGACUGUCCGGAAGGUGCUUGACAUCGAUGGAUGGUAUUUAAUGGGGAUGGAAUAUCUAGAAUGCAACCCCUGUGAAAAGAAGUUGGCAGGUUGGUCACUGGAUGUCCUUAACCAGGUGGACACAAGUUCUCAGCGAUCUUGGCUUUUCGGUUAAUUCCCAUGGUGUAUCAGGCUGUCCUGUGACCUGAAGGUAGUCAGAAUAGACGAGGGAGCGUACACUUGGGAACAGCGUGACUAGGCUCUUCCUUACCUCAAGAAGGCUGCUCCAUUGCCCCCUACUAUCUGUCAGGACCUGGAGGAGGAUGAGUACACAAGUCCUGAUGGGGUUGUCGGGUAUCAACAUGUCGUUCUCCUUGCCAAAAGUCUGAUGAGACUCUUGGAGAGGCUGUCGAUCUCGACUCGGCAUGCCCAAAGAGAUAAUCGCCCUGUGAGAGAAUCUUCCAGAGGCGAACAAGAUGAGUCUCCUCAAAGACCACAGCAGUCGAGGGGGAAGAUAGCAUGAAGCGCUCCCUAUUUGGACAAGGACCUGGACCUGCCCUGUGGCCCAACACUAGCAGCACAGUAGAGGCUUUCUUUUUGGAGCUUUGCCAGACUGUCCUUGGUGUGCGGGACAACAGGUGGGCUGCCAUCCAGAAGGACUACAGGACCAUCAGGAACAUGAUGCUGCUAAUUAUUAAUAAUGUCUACAUGUAUCAUCAUCAUCUUACUAUUGUUAGACCGUCCUCUGACUUCAGCUCAUAGACCGUGGUGUUGGUCUGGGCCAUCAACCCUGGGCUGUUCAGCACCGCCUCUCUGACUGAAGAGGAUCGCCCACCUGCACCUCUUAGGGCCGCAUGGAUGCUGGUGACAGAGCUGGCUGCAAAUGGCCUCGACCAGGCGACUGCCGCCUGGCCACGUAGCAGGACCCGGGUUAAGUCUGAGAAAGCAACUGAAAGACAAAGAUUUGAACAAAGAAUACUUGUUAGUGUUGGCAGUGGAUGGCAACUGUUGAAAUAAUUAUUAUAUUAACCAAAUACCAUUGAACACUGUCCUUUCCAGCAGUUUCCCUUUAAUCGCUUUGAACCGCCCGCGCUCGAGCCUGUCCUGGUGACGGAAAGUGUCGACAACUCCUCUGGCUGCGGUAGUGUUUGCCACAGUCCUAUCAGACAGUCUACCUUUCGAUCCGUGAGCCCCUGAAGACCCUCUUGGCCAGCCUGCAGACCUGCUGGUAUCUGGCCCUUGGCACUCCUUCUGAAUGUUACAAAUACAUUAAAAAAAUAAAAUAAAAAGCCUUUCAGGAAACAUUUGGUUUAGAAUGUCAUGACAAAUAGGGGUGCAUCAGCUGGAUUACCUGGCGGGGCUACUACUGAAGUGGAGAACGAGGCCGGCAGCGAGGCUGGGGUGGUGGCGUCCUUAUCCUGUCUCCUCAAAGCCCUCAUCCUCCAGGGGUCCCUCGACAGCAUCAGCCUCAUCUGGAGUGUCGGGGUCCGGUUGACUUCCUGCAGCACUUUGUUGGUCUGGGUGUACAGCUAUAUUACCUGGUUCUGGAAGAAACAUGUGAAGCGGGGGACGUCAAUGGCUCGUUUCAAAGUCUAUAUCCAUUGCAGAGACAAAACUGCUGCUGAAGCAUCUCCUAAUCCCGGUAACUAUAUAUUCUGAUCUUGACUUUGAUGUCAUUUGUUUCAGUAAAUGAAAUAUUGCCGCAAUUUAGUCUGAGUAUCUCUCUCUGUCUGUGUGUGUAUGUGUGUGUGAUUUAAAAGCUGUUUAGCUAUCUGAUCUGGAAUUACUGGCUAUCAUCAUGGAACUGGAACAAGGAAUGUUUCUGUUUGUGAGCGAGCUAGUAGAGAAGAAUACUAGUAUCAAAUGAACUGUGACCUAAUCUUUUUGUGUUAGUCUCAUUGUUAGCUAUAACAGGUUACACUUUAAAGUGGUAAAGGUAAGUGGUUAUUUCUAAAAUGCUUAGUAGUUGGGCUUAGAAAUCUUUGUAAAAUGAGUCACUCAUUUUCAUCUGUUUUGCAUGGCAUUUAUUAGCCAUUUCAGUCUUUGGAAUUGUAAUCUGUGCAUCACUUCGCUUCAGGUAAUUUGUUGCUUGAUUACUUGCUCUAUCACAGUGUUCUGUAGCUUAUUAAAUGUAGAUUUGUAUGCAGACAAUAUUCAAUUCUUCUAACACUGAUCUAACUAUGUCAAAGUGCAAUAGUUGUUUUACAGGCUUUUAAUAUAAAGCUUUAUUGUUAUCAGUAAAGUCAACAAUUAGAUUUUUUGUGAUUCUAAUUUCUAUGCAUUAUGUUGCAGUUCCUACUGUGCCAGCCUACCUCUCCCAGCCAGGAGGUGGACCAGUUCUGCCAGAUGCUGGCACUUCGGUAAACACUUUUUUUGUGAGGUGGUAGUAGGUGUAUUCAUUAUCCACUCUUCUGCAUCCGGUAGGUAAUUCUCCCGGAGGGAUGGAAGCUGACCCUCCCAAAAGAGCAGCAUGAGUAUGGCCCGCCGAGCCAUUUUCACAAAGGACAAGCAACUCAAGUGUGUCCUGAAAAGGCAGCUUGAGUUGUUGUACUUUCCUCCUCUGCCUCCCAACAUCAGUCAUCAGCCUCCAGCAUCUCCCAACGCCUACUUCCUCCAUCCCUUUUUUCUCUGGAAGCCCUAUCGCCUGUGGGUUUUUAAGUUUGUGUUCACCCAACCACAGUGCAUGAGCCACAAGCUAACAGGCUGCGGGGUGUAUAGGACUGUCCGGAAGGUAUUGUAUGGAUGGUAUUUCAUGGGGACGGAAUACCUGGAGUGCAGACUUUGCAAAAAGAUGUCGGCAAGUUGGUCUUUGGAUGUCCUCAACCAGUUGGACCCAAGUCAUCGGGCCAAGUUCCCAGCCAUCUUGACUUAUCAGUAAGUAGUUGACACCUCCGACAAUCAAAGAGGUGUGACCCCUUGACUUUGUUGUUCCGAUGGGGGGGGGGGAUUCUGACUGGGGCAGUCUGAGGUGGUGAUGUUUCACAGCCUCAUUGAAAUGCUAAUUAGGCUUUCUUAUCAGCUGCAGGAACUCUGCAGUUGAAAGUUUUUCAAAGUCACCCGGUUCCCACAGACCCCCUACCAACUAUGAUCACACCCCCCGACCAGUUCUCAACCGGUUUCUAUGUCUAUCAGGCUGUCCUGUAAUCUGAAGGUAGUCAAGCUGAUGAGGGAGAGGACACUAGGAAACAGUGUGACCAGGCUGUUCAACCAGCUGAGGGAGCUGCACAGCGGGACCUGGGGGGGGGGGGGUUCUUUCCUCCUGCGCUUUGCGCAAGGGUCCACUUCCUUUGGAGAGUUUCCACCUCCACUUGAACCGCUUCAUUCCUGGUGCAUUCAAUGCGCUGAUACGUUUCUCACAUUGUUUUACUGCCUGUGUGCAUGUGAGGAGUCCUCAUUUCUUGUUGUUUUCAGUGCCAAGCACUUUCAGGCUUACCUCCUUGAAGGGCUCAUAAGGUGGAACGAGGACCGUGCAGAGGCUGCAGCAGGGGGAGUGAAGCAGUCCUUUGCACUGCUAUGACGGCGUAGCACAACACGCCAUCAAUGAGCUGAGCCAGAAGCUCCUUGGUCGUAGUCUCAUAACAGAUUACACAAAACCCUCCAAGUACACUGGCAUGGACACUAUGGAAUUUUGCCUUUCUAGACAAAUGUAGACACUUAAACACACAGCAUGAAUAUCAACAUGCUCACAACUGUUUGUGUGUGACACUCUGUCUUUGUUUGUCUGAAGGGGAACUUAUUGCGGUGGAGUAUUUGUACUCCCAGACUGGCGGGCAGAGGAGGACACUCCAGAUGGGAUGUCAGAUGACACAGAGAAAGGAGAGGGAGAGGACAUCUCGUGGAGUUGGAAGAGUUUGAUGACGACCACCAUUUCCUUAUGUUCUCUGGAUGAGAGUCUACCACCUCUUCCUCUUCUCUGGAAGGCUGCUCCACCGCCCCUGCUAUCUGUCAGGACCUGGAGGAGGACGAGUACAUUGGACCUGAUGGGGGUGUCGGCUAUCAGCAUGUCAUUCUCCUGGCCAAAAGUCUGGUGAGAAUCUUGGAGGGGCCGUGGAUCUCGACUCGGCAUGCCCAAGAGAUAAUUGCCCUCUGGGAGUCUUUUGGAGGCGGACAAGAAGACAGUCUCCUACCCCGAGAGGUUCCGGGCCUAGUCCUGCAGGGGCGAUCUAAAAACUCCAAGACAACAACAGUUAAAGGCUCCCUACUUGGACAAGGACAUGGACCUGCCCUGUGGCCCAAAACUAGUAAGACAGUAGAGGCAAUCUUUUUAGAGCUUUGCCGAAAACACCCUGCUGGCCAGACUGUCCUUGGUGUGAGGGUCAACAGGUGAGCUGCCAUCCUGAGCGACUACAGGAGCAUCAGGACCAUGGUGCUCGGGUCCAGCUGUUUGAGGUCAAUAGGUUGACCUUGACACAAUGGUACGACACUCGGGUUACCUCGAUGGAGAGGGUGACCCUUCACCUGGGCCUGGACAGAAUGACUGCAGACGGAGGAGGAAGACCCCUUCCAUUCUUCGGUCAGGACCGCGGCACCGCUAACUGCACCAUCGACCAGCAGCACAUAUCAACUGUCUGAAGACCAAACAGGGCUGGCUACACGGCAUGGCAGAAUAGAGAUAGAAAAGUCAGCCACCGCAUCCUCCACUGUCCCUGCCUCAGCCUACCACCGCCCUUCCCGUUGCUCCAGACCUGCCCUCAACCAGCAGUGCUCUGCCGCCCCCCAAUGCAAGACCCAAAGUCUCCAGGACCACAGAAUGGAGGGCCAGAAAAAGACUAGAGUCGGGUCAAACAGUGCGUGCACACAAGCCCUACAAAUUCUACAUCUGUAAGAAGUGUGGUCAGCCCAAAACAAAAUAAUUUGGAGACAGUGUGUUCUGGGGACAGUUUUUGUGCCACUACAUCUGGCGGCCAAACUGAGUACCAGUAAACCCUCCUGCCUGACUGUCUGCUGACGGUUGUACAGCAAAUACACCUCCGGGAUGUCUAACGCUAUCUCUAUUUUUUUGUCCUGUAAAUAACAAAAGGAUCAGGGUUCUAAAGGUGACAGCAGGGUGUCUAGGGUGUGAACUACAUGGUCAACCACUCACAACUCUAUUUCUUGUCCAACAAAAGGACCAGCAGAUGAGGGUUCCAGGAAAAAAGAUCCUUCCAGGAAAUUCAGCCGUCCGUGGUAGCCACCUGUUAUUGACAGUCACUGGUUUUUUACUACAUAUAUUUUCAUUUUUCUGUAUUUUACCUGCAGACAAUUUCAUUUCAGAGUAAAAGUUUUAAAAGGAUCUUAGAACUGUCGUUUUUGUUUUCCCUUUGUAGACAAGAAGCUGACACACACCACCUCCAGAACCAGCAAGGGGGCUGUGAAGAGACGGGCCCCAACAAGCAACCCCCCAACUAAGAGAGUCGUCAGUGCUGCCAGACUUGCCAAGGACCUCCUCCCUAACAGAUAUGUCAACUGGCUAAGGAAGCAGACAUCCAGGAAACCUGGGGACCCUAUAGAAGCAGCCCUUAAAUACAUAAGGCACCCUGACUAGGAGGCAGCUACACCCCUUUCUCCACUUGCUGGCCUCUUGGUGCAGCAGUGGUCCCAGUGUUUUUGGGGCAGUGUUCAGUGGACAACUGCAUUCAACAGCGAGGAAGAUCCUUGCCCCAAAGACUGCAGUUCCUAGUAUCUUCAUAUUGGAGAAUUGCAAGAAACAUUAUAAUGAGCUCUUGAUGACUAAGACCACAUUUAACACACAUUUCUAUGUGUGAAGAGGAGGCUGCCCCAUGGCAGUCUUUCCUGCCUCCAAGGCCUGCACAUGCAAGUCCAGAGCUGCUGCAUCCUGAGAGCUGGCGGGCAUGUCUGAACAAAGAGCAGCAGCAGAUCGGCCGUACACUGUUCACCAGGAGUAGCACUGGGAGAUAUAAAAUUACCAGAGUUGGUCUGUGGUGGUACCCUCCCCAACCUUGGCUGACCUACAAUCAGCCACCUGAGUCGCCUGACCCCUUCUUUGCAUGUCCGCUGUUCCUCUACAUACAUGGUCAUUCAAGCUGGCACGCACCCGGCCUGGGUGUAACACUCUUCUCACCAAGGCUGGGCUUUACAAGACCAUCCAGAGAGUCUUGGAUGUCAAGGGCUAGUACCCCAUGGCCACGGAGUGUCUGCGUUCUUCCACCACAUUACAUGUGAAUUCAUUGGUGUUGAGUACCUGUACACCCAGACCAACAAAGUGCUGCAGGAAGUCAACCGGACCCCGACACUCCAGAUGAGGCUGAUGCUGUCGAGGGACCCCUGGAGGAUGAGGGCUUUGAGGAGACAGGAUAAGGACGCCACCACCCCAGCCUCGCUGCCGGCCUCGUUCUCCACUUCAGUAGUAGCCCCGCCAGGUAAUCCAGCUGAUGCACCCCUAUUUGUCAUGACAUUCUAAACCAAAUGUUUCCUGAAAGGCUUUUUAUUUUAUUUUUUUAAUGUAUUUGUAACAUUCAGAAGGAGUGCCAAGGGCCAGAUACCAGCAGGUCUGCAGGCUGGCCAAGAGGGUCUUCAGGGGCUCACGGAUCGAAAGGUAGACUGUCUGAUAGGACUGUGGCAAACACUACCGCAGCCAGAGGAGUUGUCGACACUUUCCGUCACCAGGACAGGCUCGAGCGCGGGCGGUUCAAAGCGAUUAAAGGGAAACUGCUGGAAAGGACAGUGUUCAAUGGUAUUUGGUUAAUAUAAUAAUUAUUUCAACAGUUGCCAUCCACUGCCAACACUAACAAGUAUUCUUUGUUCAAAUCUUUGUCUUUCAGUUGCUUUCUCAGACUUAACCCGGGUCCUGCUACGUGGCCAGGCGGCAGUCGCCUGGUCGAGGCCAUUUGCAGCCAGCUCUGUCACCAGCAUCCAUGCGGCCCUAAGAGGUGCAGGUGGGCGAUCCUCUUCAGUCAGAGAGGCGGUGCUGAACAGCCCAGGGUUGAUGGCCCAGACCAACACCACGGUCUAUGAGCUGAAGUCAGAGGACGGUCUAACAAUAGUAAGAUGAUGAUGAUACAUGUAGACAUUAUUAAUAAUUAGCAGCAUCAUGUUCCUGAUGGUCCUGUAGUCCUUCUGGAUGGCAGCCCACCUGUUGUCCCGCACACCAAGGACAGUCUGGCAAAGCUCCAAAAAGAAAGCCUCUACUGUGCUGCUAGUGUUGGGCCACAGGGCAGGUCCAGGUCCUUGUCCAAAUAGGGAGCUAAAAGGAUAUUAAAUUAUAAAAGACAACAUCUAUGAAGAACACAAAACACCCUGUUUAGUGAGAAAGUGAUUUCGGCACAAAGUGCAGUACUUACCGCUUCAUGCUAUCUUCCCCCUCGACUGCUGUGGUCUUUGAGGAGACUCAUCUUGUUCGCCUCUGGAAGAUUCUCUCACAGGGCGAUUAUCUCUUUGGGCAUGCCGAGUCGAGAUCGACAGCCUCUCCAAGAGUCUCAUCAGACUUUUGGCAAGGAGAACGACAUGUUGAUACCCGACAACCCCAUCAGGACUUGUGUACUCCUGGAAAUAUGAAGUGUAAUUGCAAGGGGUUGGAUUAUUGGAUAUGAAUAAGAAAAGAAAAAAAAUGACGAUGUGAGCGGUUUGUGAUGUGGAUAUGCACUUACAUCCUCCUCCAGGUCCUGACAGAUAGUAGGGGGCAAUGGAGCAGCCUUCUUGAGGUAAGGAAGAGCCUAGUCACGCUGUUCCCAAGUGUACGCUCCCUCGUCUAUUCUGACUACCUUCAGGUCACAGGACAGCCUGAUACACCAUGGGAAUUAACCGAAAAGCCAAGAUCGCUGAGAACUUGUGUCCACCUGGUUAAGGACAUCCAGUGACCAACCUGCCAACUUCUUUUCACAGGGGUUGCAUUCUAGAUAUUCCAUCCCCAUUAAAUACCAUCCAUCGAUGUCAAGCACCUUCCGGACAGUCCUGUACACCACGCAACGUGUUAGCCUGUGGCGCUUGCACUGUGGCAAACAAAGUUUGGGGCACAGGUCAUUUGAUAUUAGUAUUGAAUUAUUAGUAUUAGUACUGAAACCAAUGACAUCAGAAUAUAUACUUGCCAGAAUUAGGUGUUUUGGCUGGAGUUUCGUCUCUGCACUGGAGAUAGACCUUGAAGUGAGCCAUUGAUGUUCCCUCUUCACUUUGCCCUUCUGGAAGCAGGUCAUAUAGCUGUAUUAAAAACAAACAAAAAUGUACACACUAACAGUCAAAAGUUUUUUUCCAGUUUGGCUGAGGUCAUGGGACAGAAACUCACUCCUUCAUAAACACUGUGUCCUGUCUUUAAUUUACUACAUUUCUUGCAGUACUAUACUUUGCUGGGCUUGUGCACACAGACUGUUUGAAGAAACAGACAGAUAUUCCUUGUAUCUUGUGUACCCCAAAGCCAACAAGGUGUAGGUGUCCCUGAUCACGUUAAGGGAGUGAGGUUCCACCUCUACUGCCCUCUGGGAACAGGCUGCCAUACCUGUUCAGGUGGUUGAGAUAAUGCUAUAUAAUGUGUUGCAAUGUGGAUUGAUUUACGGUGUGUACGUGUCAUCAUACAAGAUACUUAUUUCCAUUAAAACAUUUACCAAUUUAAGCAGUCCUGGUUUGCCAUCUUGGGAGACAACUAUGUCUUUACUAGCUGUCUCAUUAAGUACAUCAGAUUGAACUGUACAAUAUGGAUUGUUUGAGUCUAAGCUUUGUGAAUUCAUUGGUACAAUUAAAUAGAAGUAGAAUAUUUGAAUGUAUCUACCUCCAUAUGAUACAAUGUCAUAAAUAUACAUUAUGCUGUGUGUAUAGUACUAAUCUGUGUCAUGUUUUCAUUCAUCAGAUGGUAAUCACCCAUUUUUACUCUUAAAUUAAUUGAAAACAAUAAAAAGUGC
Molecule: long non-coding RNA, 9209 nt
Organism: Esox lucius (northern pike)
Lineage: Eukaryota; Metazoa; Chordata; Actinopteri; Esociformes; Esocidae
Source: Ensembl